GACGAACGCUGGCGGCGUGCAUAACACAUGCAAGUCGAACGAAGAGCGAUGGAAGCUUGCUUCUAUCAAUCUUAGUGGCGAACGGGUGAGUAACGCGUAAUCAACCUGCCCUUCAGAGGGGGACAACAGUUGGAAACGACUGCUAAUACCGCAUACGAUCUAAUCUCGGCAUCGAGGAUAGAUGAAAGGUGGCCUCUACAUGUAAGCUAUCACUGAAGGAGGGGAUUGCGUCUGAUUAGCUAGUUGGAGGGGUAACGGCCCACCAAGGCGAUGAUCAGUAGCCGGUCUGAGAGGAUGAACGGCCACAUUGGGACUGAGACACGGCCCAGACUCCUACGGGAGGCAGCAGUGGGGAAUCUUCCGCAAUGGACGAAAGUCUGACGGAGCAACGCCGCGUGAGUGAUGACGGCCUUCGGGUUGUAAAGCUCUGUUAAUCGGGACGAAAGGCCUUCUUGCGAAUAGUGAGAAGGAUUGACGGUACCGGAAUAGAAAGCCACGGCUAACUACGUG
This 510-nucleotide ribosomal RNA is filed under the name uncultured bacterium. RNAcentral's name for it is "partial 16S ribosomal RNA". It matches the Rfam family "Bacterial small subunit ribosomal RNA", at positions 28 to 507 of the family's 1533-position model. The record is from RNAcentral.